Molecule: ribosomal RNA, 292 nt
Filed under: uncultured bacterium
Lineage: Bacteria
Description: partial 16S ribosomal RNA
Rfam family: Archaeal small subunit ribosomal RNA
Source: RNAcentral
GUGCCAGCCGCCGCGGUAAUACCAGCGGCCCUAGUGGUGAUCGUUAUUAUUGGGCCUAAAGCGUCCGUAGCCGGCCCGGUAAAUCUCUGGGUAAAUCGUUGGGCUUAACUCAGCGAAUUCUAGGGAGACUGCCGGGCUUGGGACCGGGAGAGGUCGGAGGUACUCCGAGGGUAGGGGUGAAAUCCUGUAAUCCUUGGGGGACCACCGGUGGCGAAGGCGUCCGACCAGAACGGGUCCGACGGUAAGGGACGAAGCCCUGGGGCGCGAACCGGAUUAGAUACCCUGGUAGUCC